AUAUACGUCCAGUCUUUACAUGUAUUCACACAGGGCUGAUCUUAAUCAAAAGAAUCCAAAGAUCACCAGGAUGCUAGCUCCAUUGUAGAUCUUUCUCCCUUUAAAUCAAAUUUGAUUUCUUCUUCUUUUCUUCUCAAGAAAGAGAAAGAAGAUAAUGAAUAAGAGAGGAAGAGGGUCUCCCUCUUAGGUGGCACCAAGGAGGAGAGGAAGGUGGGUGGCAACAAAGGAAGAGGGGAGAUGGAUCUUAUCAUUAGCUAGGGCAUCCUCUCAAUUUGGUCCUAUUUAUGGACCCCAAUCCCUUAUCCAUCUAUCCUAUUAAUUUGAAUCACAUUUAUAUUUUAAAGAUUCGAAUCAAAUUCAAACUUUGAGAUGGAUUAGGAUAGAGAGAUAAGAGAGAGAGGAGAGAGAACCUCAGAGGAGGCACGCCAACCCUUGGUC
This 438-nucleotide long non-coding RNA is filed under the name Elaeis guineensis (African oil palm). RNAcentral's name for it is "long non-coding RNA (EGUI_LNC056276)". The record is from RNAcentral. Lineage: Eukaryota; Viridiplantae; Streptophyta; Magnoliopsida; Arecales; Arecaceae.